UCCUGGCUCAGAAUCAACGCUGGCGGCGUGCCUAACACAUGCAAGUCGAACGAGAAAGGGGCUUCGGUCCUGAGUACAGUGGCGCACGGGUGAGUAACACGUGACUAACCUACCCUGGAGUGGGGAAUAACUGAGGGAAACCUUAGCUAAUACCGCAUAAUACCUACGGGUCAAAGGAGCAAUUCGCUUCAGGAGGGGGUCGCGGCCGAUUAGCUAGUUGGCGGGGUAAUGGCCCACCAAGGCAAUGAUCGGUAUCCGGCCUGAGAGGGCGCACGGACACACUGGAACUGAAACACGGUCCAGACUCCUACGGGAGGCAGCAGUGGGGAAUUUUGCGCAAUGGGGGAAACCCUGACGCAGCAACGCCGCGUGGAGGAUGAAAUGCCCUUGGGAUGUAAACUCCUUCGAUCGGGACG
This 416-nucleotide ribosomal RNA is filed under the name uncultured Acidobacteriota bacterium. Its description in RNAcentral is "bacterial SSU rRNA". It matches the Rfam family "Bacterial small subunit ribosomal RNA", at positions 17 to 447 of the family's 1533-position model. The record is from RNAcentral. Lineage: Bacteria; Pseudomonadati; Acidobacteriota.